GUCUACGGCCACACCACCCUGAACACGCCCGAUCUCAUCUGAUCUCGGAAGCUAAGCAGAGUCAGGCCUGGUUAGUGCUUAGAUGAGAGACAGAGACAGAGGGGGUGGGGGUAGAUA
RNAcentral lists this ribosomal RNA (117 nucleotides) under Erinaceus europaeus (western European hedgehog). Lineage: Eukaryota; Metazoa; Chordata; Mammalia; Eulipotyphla; Erinaceidae. The record is from RNAcentral.